This 148-nucleotide non-coding RNA is filed under the name Pan paniscus (pygmy chimpanzee). Lineage: Eukaryota; Metazoa; Chordata; Mammalia; Primates; Hominidae. The record is from Rfam by way of RNAcentral. RNAcentral also lists the same sequence under 1 other name.
GCCAGGUGUGGUGGUGCGUGCCUGUAGUCCCAGCUACUCAGGAGGCUGAGGUGGGAGGACUGCUUGAGCCCAGGACUUUGAGGUUACAGUGAGCUGUGACUGCACCGUUGCACUUUAGCCUGGGCAACAGAGCAAGACCCUAUCUCUU